GCUGUUAUGAGCCUUUGAUCACUUUAAUCACUGUACUUAAGAAUAGCUUGAUCUAUUUUUUUCUGCUAAAUUGACAUUCUACAAGGCAAGAAGGUAAUUAGCGAUGUCUACUCUGCUGAAAUAAUAUAGCAUCUCACUUGUUCCCUCAUGAGCUGUACAGCUUGGCUAUAGCCAUUGUUAGACAUAAAAAAAGCUUCCUUCUUCUUAAAGAACAAGAAAUAAAAGACAACUUUGUGUAAGCUUAUUAAACACUGCGUUCACGUUCCAGCAUAGAUGUGUCUCUUGAAACACAAGCAAAGAGUUCUAGCUUUCCUUUGCCCUGGGAGGCCUGGAUGCUGGAGUAGCCCAUGCACUCCUCAUCUGUACUUCUCAUUUGGCUCAGGGCUCAAGCACAUGGCUAAAAACUAAGCUUUCUCGUUUGGGGCAUUGCUUUGCAUCCCUAAGAUGCUUUAAGCAGGAUGUUCUGCUUUUACUGCUUGAUCUCAUCUGAGUCAUUUAAAUACAAAGAAAGUGCUAGCUAUCUGAAUAUUAUGUAAUGACCUGAUUUGUGUGUGCUUUCAUAAAAGAUCAGAUCCGCACACCAGAGUGGCAGUGCUUUCACUCUCCCCAGAGGACUCUCUAGCUGAUUUGGCAGUGUUACACUGCAGAAUGACUCUGCCCCUUGAGCAGCAAGCCCAUCCUUUUUACAUAAACCAGCCGAGAAAGCAAAGAGGUGAGAGGUGUCCAUCUUGAAACAUCUCAGGUCCAUCUCAGAGAAGGGUUAACACAUAUUUAUUUAUGUAUUUAUAUAUCUUAUUUAUUUAUUUAUGUAAUAAAUUUCCAAACUUCAUGCUUUAGGAGUGGAAUAGGUUUGUUUUAGAAGUGGAAUAACUGCCUCUGUUCAUAUAAAUGCCACAGCCUCCCCAGUGGGUGGGAAGAGUCAUUGAAUCAUAGGGGUUGGAAGGGAUUUCUGGAUAUCAUCGAGUUCAACCCCCAAAGAGCCUCCCUCAAGUGCAGCAUGCACAGCUCUUCAGAGCGUCUCAGGGCUGCAUUAUUACAUUUGCAACUGCUCCCACAACAAGCUGAUGCCAGCAGGGAGGGAGAGGGCACACAGAGCUGCUCACAGUGCUGUGACCUGCACUCCCUGGCCUGUUCUGCUUGUCUAUUAAGGAACAAAAUUAGGAUCACCAGUUGUCACUGCAUAGGGUCUGCCAAAGUGCUGGCUUCUGGAAGUCGUGGGAUGAACUGGUGGUUAGGCCACAUAUUGUGUUGAAAAUGAACGGCUCACAGGCCCCUACCCCUCAAGUAAUAAAUGGUAUUGUCUGCAUUAGAAUGUCUUCCACCAGCAAAACUGUUAGUCUUCCAUUAGAAGGACAGGAGUCAAUUGGCUGCAUGUGGAUGGACAGAAAGUAUGAGUUUCUCCUAAUUCAAGAGCUGCUGAGAUGCUUGACCCUCUUCUACAGAAACUGCUUCUUUCAAAGAUGACAGGAUCUAGGCCAUAAGCACAAAAAUUAACAGUCCAUCAAGAAUCUGCAUUUCUACACUGCAGUGAAAUCCUGAGGAGCUGAUGUCUUUUCCAUGGUCAGACAAUCUGGUUGCCGAGCUGGUGGCUGCAGCAGUGUUCUGUGCUUCUGCAGGCAUUCCCCACAACAGCAGUCUCCUCCUCCUCCCUUUGCUCCUAUCAGCCAGGCUCCAGUGAGAGCUACAUCCACAGCACCCCAAUACUUAGCCUCUCAGUACCUGAAAUGGUAAUAGCACUGUUUUGGUUUUAUUUCCCAGACAGAAGACUGUGCUGUUUCUGGCUCCUUGCUGCAAUAAAUUGGCAGAUGAUGCUCUAAUGAGAACAAUAACGCACCCACCCUACCGCCUUUGAUCACUUAUGUGCUCUUUUGCAGCUUGUGAAAGGCUCUAAAAGCUUUCACCAGACAGGUUGUUUGAUUUUUAAGGAGUGUCACUAGCGCUGUUUACCCCAGACAGGCAGAAGCCUGUUUUUGCAGUGUGUGGUUGCUGGGACAAUUGACAUCAGCUAAGUGGCCAAUAUGUAGUUUGACCCAAGAAAUGCCAGGUUCCGGCCAUUUGCCAGCAAUUUCAACAGCAGAAGCUGCCUCAAACCAGCGUAUCUGAACUUAGUGCUUCAGCGAGCUGCUUAAUGGGUUGUAUGCUGGGGUGCAGUCAGUGGGCACCAAAUGUGCUGUGCCAUUUCACAUCAGCUGGUGGUCAGCAAUACUAUUGCACGAUAGUGCUGAUGGUCAGCAAUUGCACAUAUACUGGUACUAGCUAUAUUCUCAUGACAAAGUGAUCUGUGUUCUUGACCCUCUUCCUUUAUUCUGAGCUACCCAUGCAAGGAACAGAGUUGCACUGAAUUUGCACAGAAUGGAUUGUGACAAUCGUUUCCGCUUGUGCACUCCUAGCUACAGUCCCAUGACCAUCUUUGCUCUCACUGAAAAUUACUUGGCAACACAGAUGAGCUCCCGUGGGAAGUCACCAGGACGUGAUUAAAGUUACCCACAAAACAGAUGUUUCUUUGGAAGAAAUGUAUUGUAAUCAAUCUGUAAACUCAGAGCAGUUAAAAUGGAGGCUGGAAACAACAACCAAAAAAUGCUGAAUACAUCUUAUCUUACCAUUUGGCUUGCUGUUUCCCAUUGCAUUCUUCUUGCCCCAGCCACCUCAUCCUGCAGCAUCUCAGUCUGAGUGACUGAACUGACAGGUGAUCUUUUGUGACUUUCUGCAUACCUUUGUCUACUUCAGCACCCAAAUCAAUGGUCUCUGGUUAUUUAUGCAUCUUUAUCUGAAGGAGAAUCGACUCCAUUUUAAUUGCAUAUGAACGGGAUGAUAAUAAAGCACUAAUUGUUUUUUCUGCCCAUGAACUGAUCUGUAUCUGGUUGAAUUUGCCCUUGAUGAUCUCAUAACACUGGCAAAAUUGCAAACAAGUACACACAGACCUGCUGCUUGCAUUAGAAGAAUCCAGGUAUCUCUCAUUUUUCACAGGCUACUCGGUGUCUUUUCAUUUCAGCAGCUACACAGCAUCACUGAUGUGUAACUGCUCAGCAGAUAUGCAAAUACUAUGUAUCCUGUAUACUGGCUAUCCCUAUAUGUGAGGUUAAGUGAGGUUUCCGUUGGGAGAGAGUGCGUUGUCCUUUUGUGGAAAUGAAAUCUUUGUUCUCAUUGAUUAAACAAGCAAGGAAUGGCCCACACAGAGGAAUCCUGAGUUCACAAUACCCUUCUAAAAUGCAGAGCUGGUGAAACAUAUAUCCGUCAUCCAUUGCUUUCUGUGUCUUAUAGCGUACCUACUGCUGUGAUAACUGAGCACCUGUCAAGAUACUAUAUUGCUAGUCAUGGAAAUGGAAGUCAUCUCAGAUUUAUCAACAAAGAAGCUGACAUUGCUGUCUGGCAAGUUUCUCAGCUUUUGUGCCUCAACCUUGACCCUCAAGGAUCUACUUCUCAAGGCAAGAAAGCAGCCAAUUCUCCUCACGGAUUUAAUCACCAUUUCCUCUGCUAUGGGUUCUGAUUCAUGAGGUGGUAGAGAUCUCCUUAACCAAACAAGAUCACCUGGAAGUAGUCACUGCUACAGGACAUAGAGCACACACAUGCCACAAGCUGAUUUUGGCAUCCCAGGUCCCAGUAAUACCCACAGUGAAGUGGAAAUCUGCCCCUUACUUGAGACCACAAGUGGAUCACUGAUGCCAGUGGGCACCUUUCAGACAUCAAGGCUCUGGCCAUAUUUGAACUGCAAGACAUUUUUUAUACCCUCAUUGACCUUUGAGCUCACAAAGCAUGCUCAAAAUCUUACAAAAAAGCCACGCUCCAAAGUGAUCAAGUGAUAUUAGGUUGUGUCUCAAAAACCACUAGAGGUUCCCUCUAUUUCCCAGAAGGUGUCCCAGAGCUGGAGCCAAUUCAGCUGCCAAGAUGCUGCCUUUCUCACCUGCUGAUUGCAAUUAGCCACUGCCAGCUGGGACCUGGUGUGCCAUUGAAGAGCUAACAAGAAGCAGAGACCAGCAUGAUGCCUCGACAGUGCAUACACAGUGAAUAAAUAAGAAAUGCUGCACUGUAUUCCUGAAGUUACUUCCUAUGCAACUUCAAUUGCUUCCUAAGCAAUUCCUAUGUCCCAACAUGCAUGUCAGAGGUUCAGCUUGCUUCUCGUGCUCUUACCUCAUGCUGUCACAUACUUGCCAGGAAGGAAACAUGGGCAAUAAAGGUUA
Long non-coding RNA from Centrocercus urophasianus (Greater sage-grouse), 4178 nucleotides. RefSeq lists it as uncharacterized. Lineage: Eukaryota; Metazoa; Chordata; Aves; Galliformes; Phasianidae. The transcript has 3 exons. The record is from RefSeq and is a predicted model, not a curated record.